UAAGGAAUAUUGGUCAAUGGGCGAGAGCCUGAACCAGCCAAGUCGCGUGAAGGAAGACAGUCCUAAGGAUUGUAAACUUCUUUUAUACGGGAAUAACGGGCGAUACGAGUAUUGCAUUGAAUGUACCGUAAGAAUAAGCAUCGGCUAACUCCGUGCCAGCAGCCGCGGUAAUACGGAGGAUGCGAGCGUUAUCCGGAUUUAUUGGGUUUAAAGGGUGCGUAGGUUGUUCGGUAAGUCAGCGGUGAAACCUGAGCGCUCAACGUUCAGCCUGCCGUUGAAACUGCCGGGCUUGAGUUCAGUGGCGGCAGGCGGAAUUCGUGGUGUAGCGGUGAAAUGCAUAGAUAUCACGAGGAACUCCGAUUGCGAAGGCAGCUUGCCAUACUGCGACUGACACUGAAGCACGAAGGCGUGGGUAUCAAACAGG
RNAcentral lists this ribosomal RNA (424 nucleotides) under Fusobacteriota bacterium. RNAcentral describes it as "Fusobacteria bacterium partial 16S ribosomal RNA". It matches the Rfam family "Bacterial small subunit ribosomal RNA", at positions 355 to 776 of the family's 1533-position model. The record is from RNAcentral. Lineage: Bacteria; Fusobacteriati; Fusobacteriota.